Molecule: unclassified non-coding RNA, 187 nt
Filed under: Myrsine sp. Wen 1849
Lineage: Eukaryota; Viridiplantae; Streptophyta; Magnoliopsida; Ericales; Primulaceae
Description: partial external transcribed spacer
Source: RNAcentral
UGUGAUAUUAAGAUGAACCUCGAGGUACCUUCUGCGCUCCCACGCAUGCUUCUAAUCUUUUUGUUGCGUGUGUGGUGCAUGGUUUGGCUACUCGUGCUUUGGGAUGUGGAACAUUGUGUUGCUAAGCGAUCUUUUGAUUGCUUUGGCCAAAAAAAAAAUAGUCCAUUGUUGGAACGACUAUCAUGAU